RNAcentral lists this ribosomal RNA (518 nucleotides) under uncultured bacterium. RNAcentral's name for it is "bacterial SSU rRNA". It matches the Rfam family "Bacterial small subunit ribosomal RNA", at positions 791 to 1307 of the family's 1533-position model. The record is from RNAcentral.
UAGUCCACGCCCUAAACGAUGUCAACUAGACGUUGGGCUCAUAAAGGAGCUUAGUGUCGAAGCUAACGCGUUAAGUUGACCGCCUGGGGAGUACGGCCGCAAGGUUGAAACUCAAAGGAAUUGACGGGGCCCGCACAAGCGGUGGAGCAUGUGGUUUAAUUCGAUGCAACGCGAAGAACCUUACCAGCCCUUGACAUCCUGGGAACUUUGUAGAGAUACAUUGGUGCCUUCGGGAAUCCAGUGACAGGUGCUGCAUGGCUGUCGUCAGCUCGUGCCGUGAGAUGUUGGGUUAAGUCCCGCAACGAGCGCAACCCUCGUCCUUAGUUGCCAGCACGUUAUGGUGGGAACUCUAAGGAGACUGCCGGUGAUAAACCGGAGGAAGGUGGGAUGACGUCAAGUCAGUCAUGGCCCUUAUGGGCUGGGCUACGACACGUGCUACAAUGGACGGUACAGAGGGCCGCAAACCCGCAGGGGGAGCCGAAUCCCACAAAGCCGUUCUUAGUCCGGAUCGCAGUCUG